AUAGCUCAGUGGCACAGUGCCUGCCUGGCAAGCACGAGGUCUUGAGUUCAAUCCUCAGU
This 59-nucleotide transfer RNA is filed under the name Cavia porcellus (domestic guinea pig). It matches the Rfam family "tRNA", at positions 7 to 64 of the family's 71-position model. Rfam says of the family: Transfer RNA (tRNA) molecules are approximately 80 nucleotides in length. Lineage: Eukaryota; Metazoa; Chordata; Mammalia; Rodentia; Caviidae. The record is from Rfam by way of RNAcentral.